This 301-nucleotide ribosomal RNA is filed under the name uncultured bacterium. Its description in RNAcentral is "partial 16S ribosomal RNA". It matches the Rfam family "Bacterial small subunit ribosomal RNA", at positions 509 to 807 of the family's 1533-position model. The record is from RNAcentral.
CAGCCGCCGCGGGAAUACGAGGGGAGCUAGCGUUGUUCGGAAUUACUGGGCGUAAAGCGCGCGUAGGCGGCUUUUUAAGUCAGAGGUGAAAGCCCGGGGCUCAACCCCGGAAUUGCCUUUGAAACUGGAAAGCUAGAAUCUUGGAGUGGUCAGUGGAAUUCUGAGUGUAGAGGUGAAAUUCGUAGAUAUUCGGAAGAACACCAGUGGCGAAGGCGACUGACUGGACAAGUAUUGACGCUGAGGUGCGAAAGCGUGGGGAGCAAACAGGAUUAGAUACCCCCGUAGUCCCUGUCUCUUAUAC